Molecule: ribosomal RNA, 274 nt
Filed under: uncultured bacterium
Lineage: Bacteria
Description: partial 16S ribosomal RNA
Rfam family: Bacterial small subunit ribosomal RNA
Source: RNAcentral
AUACGGAGGGUGCAAGCGUUAAUCGGAAUUACUGGGCGUAAAGCGCGCGUAGGCGGUUUGAUAAGUCGGAUGUGAAAUCCCCGGGCGCAACCUGGGAAUUGCAUUCGAUACUGUCAGGCUAGAGUGUGGUAGAGGGAAGUGGAAUUUCCGGUGUAGCGGUGAAAUGCGUAGAUAUCGGAAGGAACACCAGUGGCGAAGGCGGCUUCCUGGACCAACACUGACGCUGAGGUGCGAAAGCGUGGGGAGCAAACAGGAUUAGAAACCCCAGUAGUCC